This 253-nucleotide ribosomal RNA is filed under the name uncultured bacterium. Its description in RNAcentral is "partial 16S ribosomal RNA". It matches the Rfam family "Bacterial small subunit ribosomal RNA", at positions 524 to 776 of the family's 1533-position model. The record is from RNAcentral.
GACGAACCGAGCGAACGUUAUUCGGAAUCACUGGGCUUAAAGGGCGCGUAGGCGGGCGGUCAAGUCAGGGGUGAAAGCCCCCAGCUCAACUGGGGAAGUGCCUCUGAUACUGGUCGUCUCGAGGGAGGUAGGGGCGUGCGGAACUUCCGGUGGAGCGGUGAAAUGCGUAGAUAUCGGAAGGAACACCGGUGGCGAAAGCGGCGCGCUGGACCUCUUCUGACGCUGAGGCGCGAAAGCCAGGGGAGCGAACGGG